RNAcentral lists this ribosomal RNA (207 nucleotides) under uncultured bacterium. RNAcentral's name for it is "partial 16S ribosomal RNA". It matches the Rfam family "Bacterial small subunit ribosomal RNA", at positions 568 to 774 of the family's 1533-position model. The record is from RNAcentral.
CACGUAGGCGGUUCGUUAAGUCGGAUGUGAAAGCCCCGGGCUCAACCUGGGAAUUGCAUUCGAUACUGGCAAACUAGAGUAUAGAAGAGGCAAGUGGAAUUCCGGGUGUAGCGGUGAAAUGCGUAGAUAUCCGGAGGAACAUCAGUGGCGAAGGCGACUUGCUGGUCUAAUACUGACGCUGAGGUGCGAAAGCGUGGGGAGCAAACG